AGCAGCCGCGGUAAUUCCAGCUCCAAUAGCGUAUAUUAAAGUUGUUGCAGUUAAAAAGCUCGUAGUUGAAUUUCGGGAUCAAUUAAUUGGUCGUGCCUCUGGUACGUACUGAUUUUAUUGGUUUCUCCCUUCUGACGAACCAUGAUGUCAUUAAUUUGGUGUCGUGGAGAAUCAGGACUGUUACUUUGAAAAAUUAGAGUGUUUAAAGCAAGCUAACGCUUGAAUACAUUAGCAUGGAAUAAUGAAAUAGGACGUUUGAUCCUAUUUUGUGGUUUCUAGGAUCGACGUAAUGAUUAAUAGGGAUAGUUGGGGGCAUUAGUAUUCAAUUGUCAGAGGUGAAAUUCUUGGAUUUAUUGAAGACUAACUACUGCGAAAGCAUUUGCCAAGGACGUUUUCAUUAAUCAAGAACGAAAGUUAGGGGAUCGAAGACGAUCAGAUACCGUCGUAGUCUUAACCAUAAACUAUGCCGACUAGGGAUCGGAUGAUGUUAAUUUUUAAUGACUCAU
Molecule: ribosomal RNA, 506 nt
Filed under: uncultured Glomus
Lineage: Eukaryota; Fungi; Glomeromycota; Glomeromycetes; Glomerales; Glomeraceae
Description: SSU rRNA
Rfam family: Eukaryotic small subunit ribosomal RNA
Source: RNAcentral